This is a long non-coding RNA of Neofelis nebulosa (Clouded leopard), 19937 nucleotides long. RefSeq lists it as uncharacterized. Lineage: Eukaryota; Metazoa; Chordata; Mammalia; Carnivora; Felidae. The transcript has 2 exons. The record is from RefSeq and is a predicted model, not a curated record.
UUGUUUUGUCUUUUAAAUAUUCUUAACUGAACAACUUGUUUCCAUUCCACCGGUGUUACACGUAGUGUUGUUAAAGAUACCUUAUUCGCAGGGGCGCCUGGGUGGCUCAGUUGGUUAAGCGUCCGACUUCAGCUCAGCUCAUGGUCUCACAGUCCAUGAAUUCGAGCCCCACAUCAGGCUCUGUGCUGACAGCUCAGAGCCUGGAGCCUGCUUUGGAUUCUGUGUCUCCUUCUCUCUCUGCCCCUCCCCUCCCCAUACUCUCUCUCUGUCUCAAAAAUAAAUAAAAACAUUAAAAGAGAUUUUAAAGAUAUCUUGUUCACAGUGCCUUCUAGGCUAAAUUCCUAGAAGUGACAAUGGGUAUGCACCUGAAAAUGUGGAUAUGUAAUGCAGGAUUACUCUCCUAUUUCUAAUAUCAGCAUAUUAUAUGAAAACUAACUGUGUUCUGCAUUUUGUUAGGUCAGAAUGACAGUGAAGGUAGAAAUGAAGAACCAACAUGUGGAAAAAAUAUGUCUGUAGUUUUCUGCCUAUAUUUUCCUCUGUGUCCAUAUGUUACUCCCUUGAUGGCAUGUAUUGGAGCCACUUAUUUUCAUCAUGUGGUGAAUCUUCUUUCCCCACCCCCCUCUGUCUUUUGAACAAGUAUAUCUUGGAUAUGCCUGAUAACAUAUGACUUGACAGUGUUAUGCAGCCUUUCCUUUCAGUGGUAGGCACUGCUACAGUUGUUAAGAAAUAUUUAGGAAAAAAAUGUAAAUUUUCUCAAAGGAGUAAGAUAUGCAGGGUAAUUUAGGAUAAAAAGUGGACCCACAAAUGUGGCAACCAUACAUAUGGUAUUGGAGUGAUUAUUACAUUUACCUCAUCAGAUGGUGAAGCAAUGGAAUUGUCUUAAUUUCUCAGAUUUUCCCUCCAAUUUCCAUCUUUUUUUUCUUUCCUUUCAUAGAACAGUUUGAUAAAGUUAAAGGUAUUAAUCCAGUUUUAAUUAUACAGUGCUUAUCUACUGAAAAUAAUUAUUUCUAACUAAACCUGGGCAAACUGGAAGUGUGUGAUUAGCCCAGAUUUUAUUAUAACUUCCAUAGUUGUCUUAAAUUUUUACAGAUCAUCAGAGGAUCACAUUGCCAUUACUUAGUGAAGAGUCAUCAACCGUAUUUUGAAAAAUGAGUGGCAAAAGUGAUGACAUUCUGUUUCUUCUCACUGUUUUCUGAUUUCUGGAGCACUGCCAUUCUCCACAUUUCCUCUGGCCUUAAGAAUGCCAGCUGGCUAUUUAAAAGAAGAAGAAAGAAUAAAAUGCAAAAACAACAACAAAAAAACCCAGAAAUCAUGGCUUAGGGAACCUCGGCUCAGCCCCUCCCUUAGUGCCAUGUAGCCUGGAGCUCAUUGGCCAGGUUCUUUCUGCUGUUUUGAUACUCGGCAGACCUGGAUCACCGCCAUUUUCUAUUCUGCCAACUGGCCUUGAGCAACGGAUCAACUCUUCUCUUUGCUCCAGGCUUGGAGGAGCUGGAGUGCAGUUUCUUUCCACAGUUUUGACCACCCUGCUUUUGGGCAAUCUUGUUGGUGACUUUAUGUUACUGAUUUAACAAAAACAACCUGUCCGUAGAUUGGUUGCGUGCAGCUUUUCUAAUCGUCCACUAAGACCUUAAACAAAGGGGCUAUGUGGCUUUAAGCUAGGCAGAUACACACACACACACACACACACACACACACACACACACACACACACAUGCACGCACACAUUUGUGCUGAUGGUGGUAUAGCCAUAGGAUGGCCAGGUACAUAUGCUAUAACGGGUAUGUAUAGUUUCCUUUUAAAAUAGCAUUUGGCUGUGCAAUUGCAAACUUUUGUUUCAUAGUGUAGGUGUAACUUACAUGAAAGAAGCGCUACAAGAUUAGAUAGAAAGUAUUGCUCAUCUAUGAAUUUAGAAAUCCCUUUCCCUGAAGAUUCAAGUAAAAGGUUUUGGUUCUUUUAAUUUGGUGUGAUAAAAAAUGUUGCCCUUUGGUGAAAUCAGAAUUAUGGAGCAUGAUGCUUCUCAUUUCCUGGUGCUGUUAUUUUUACUGCACCAAAUAUGUAUUUUAGAUGGCAUUGUGAAUUACUUCAGUUGUCAGUGCAGUCAGUAAACCUGUGAUUACAUUAUAUUGCUUUUGCUCAUAGGAUCAUUUUCUCAGCCAGUGCACCUGGGAAAGACAGCUACAUUUUCCACCAAAUUGUAGAAGCUGAGAAAAUUAGGUGGAUUUUUUUUUCUUUUUGUUUUGCUCUAAAACGUGGUUGCUUUGUAGAAUGUUGGUGAGCUCACUAAUAAACAUAUGAAAGCACAGCCUCAUCAAAUGGAAAAUAAAAUCAGAACACCAAACUCCAGUACGUUUUGCAAUAAAGAAAACAAACAAAUUGUUAUUUUUUCCAAUGCAAUUAAAUAAAGAGACCGCUAAUAUUGCAUUUAUCUAAUUAGCGUCUCUGCAGUACAAACUGCUCUUCAUUUUCAUCCCCUUCUUUGGAUAGGUGUGUAUGUUGUCGGGCUUUACCAACAGAAAACGUAGCUGGGGUUUUGGAAAUAGCCUUCGACUCUUCGUGCAGGCCAGCCUCCUUGCUAAAAGAUGGCGUUGGGAGAAGCACUUGUGAGAGAUUUCUGAGCUUCAAAAAGAACACCUGUUGCUGUCAGCACCGCUUCCAGCAAAGCGUUGUUAUGGGUGUGUAACUACUUUCUGUCAGCAGGAGUCUUUGUUUCAACCUGAGUGUUGUCCUGUCAGAAGUCAGAAAAAAGGCCCCAAGUCUCCUGAAUUUCAGCAGUGAGUUGAGAUGAGGAUCUUUUUAAAAAUGUCAGGCCAAUUUAGGAGUUUGAUGUGCACCGAAUGGCCCCUUAUACCCAUGCGGCAAUAACAUGCUAAACUUUAUUCUCCCUUAAGUAUCCUUUCACCCAGCUGUCUUCUAGAAACCCUGGUGUUUAUUCAAAACCCAUAUUUAUAUUGUAUAGAGUAUGAAGAAAUGCUUGAUUAUCGUUUAUCUUACCCUCUUCUCAACAUUCAAGGGGAUGUGCCAUUAUCUAGAAACGUAUAAAACUAACAUCCAGUGGAAUUCAUGUUAACAAGUAUGCCAUGAGUGUGAACAGUAGUUAGAGAAAUAUCCUUCCUCAGACAAACAGAACUACCUCAGCAAUUUGUGUAUUUUGACCCGUUGCUUUGGGUAAGCAUGUUCUGUCAUCCAAAUCUGCUACAAGAAUGGAUAGAAAUCUUGGGGUACCAACGUAGUCAGGGGGUUGGUUGAAUUUAGCAUUUUUUGAUACCAGAAACUGGAAAGAAAUAAUUGAUGGCCCAUACGGUAUGUGUAAUGGGCACUAUCAGCUGUUUAAACAUACACGAGUUAUUUUCAAGCUUUCCAAACCCAUCUGUCACCAUAUUGUUCAGCCACACAAAAUAAAUUGUCAUUUCUCUCUAUAUAAACUGAUGUAGUCCUAAUUGAUUUUUGCUUCAAACUUUUGUGUAAAUAGACUUGUGUCAUCAGGCUCUAUUUUUUAUUUGUUUUUGGUUUUGUUUCCCCUACUAGUAAUUUAUUGUAUAAUUUUGCCUAUAUGAAAAAUACAAACAGGUACAGCCAGCCAUGUGGCCACAUCCUUAAAAAAAAGUGUUAAACGCACUUCGUAUAGAUUUAAAAAAAAAUACUUGUGAAAACAACAGCAUAUCUUUUUCAGUGUGUACAGUUGAGUUCAAAAAAAGCAUAGUGUGUCUUCAUUGCAAAUCCAAGUAAUAUAUCUCGUAGUAUCUUAUUUAAUCACAGACAUUUUUCUCUUACACGUCACAGUGUUAAGUGUAAUUUACAUAAACUCCUGGGGCUUUCUGCAAUGUGGGAAACUGAGUUCCUAAACGGGGGUGAUAGGAAUGAGUUUGAACACUGUUCUCUGUAGGAACCAAACAAUGUUUAGGAUGCUUCCAGUUCUCUAGAGAAUUCUGUGGGGCAUUAGGGGGUACGUAACUGAAUAGGAAAGUGCACUUUUUUUUUCCAGUGGGGGCAAACACACAGGAGAUUUGUUGGUAACUGAUUCACUGGUUCCUGAGUAUGUUUUACCUCUGGCGGUGUUAAAUAGACCCAAGAUUGCAUCGGUUUCCCCUAGGAGAUAUAUACUCCAGAAAUACCCAUUAUCAUUGCAUGAGUUAUCAUAACACCUAAUACCUCAGCUGGAGUUUAAACGUUAUGACAGUUAGGGGACUUAACUUGGGUAGACUUAGGAGGGCCUGUGAAUACAAGUUAAAAAUCAUGCAGUUGGCUCUCAUAGAAGAUUUAAUUGUUAAAGUAAAUGUGUAUGGUCACUUUGAAGUCUUAGAUUUUCCAUGUAAAUUAAUGAACAAAGGGUACAUCAUUCUCCUUAAAUUUCUAUGAGUUUUUUUUCCUUUUUUUUUCUUUUGCAUUUGCAUAAGAGGCAAUGAAACAGUACAAAGUUUUAAUUCUUUCCCCUCCGCCCAGCUAAACCACUGGUUUAGUGAUUAGCAGAGGAGACUUUUAUAUUAUGUUUUCGGCUCUGUUCCCUGGUUGCAAUUCACUCAACCUUGACGUAAAUCUGAAAUAAGUACUUUGUAAAGGGUUAGCCUUUUGUGCAGGGUGUGUGAGAAAUCCUGCAGGACCAGGUUGGUUACAGAAACCAGUGUCAAGUUGCCUUUCCUGAACGGUGAAUAAGAAAGUGCAGACAACGGGAAAGCAGGUGGGGGGGAAAUCUUCCAAAGUACACCCUCACCCUUCACUUCCGAAACCCUUAUUGUCUACCUUUAAAGGACUCCCAGUUCUGUUCAGUGAUAAGUAUUCAUUGGGUGGGUUAUUUUUGCUUUUUUUUUUCUUUUUUGAAAUUAUCCAGUUAUUGCUAGUGGGUACAGUAUGUCCGGACAGUAGACAAGAGUUUCAUUCACAGAAUCCACAUUUUGUGUUUUGCCUGUUGAGGCUGGUUGCUCUUCAUUUAAUCUAUUGGAUCAUGCUGUUUGCCUUAGGUGAUCAGCAACCUUUAAUGUAAAUCCUAGGCAAUCUUGUAAAACUAAUGGAAAGAGAGAAAAUACACGCACACGCACGCACAUACACACCGUAAGCAUUCCUUUCAUUGUUUAUAUCUGUAUUGUCCUAAAGGGUAGGUUUCAUUAUGUAGCUCCUUCCCGCCUUUGAAAUACCUACUCCUUUUUUCCUUUAAUUUUUUAAACUGAGUAUAUUCUAUUAUUUGUAAAUAGAAGUAUGUUUUCUUAUCAGUGCACUGCCUUGUACUUAGAAACUUAAAAAAAAAUGAGUAUUUUGUUUAGUUCUGAAUACAGUCUAUUUCCAGUUAGCCUGAAAGUUGUUUAAAAUAAAUCACGUUCCUAAAAUCCAACCAAAAAAAAAAAAAUCUUCCCCUUAUAUAAACGGCAGUUCAGCAUUGGUUAAGCAUUUUUUUUGGCAGUCACAAUGACCAACUAAUUUGAGUUUCAGUUCUUUUUGGAGAAAGAGAAGAGGGUGUAAUUCUUGAUAAGUCUAGCUGCAGAUUUGUAUUGAGUACCAAAACUAAAAAAGUUUUCUUAAUAAGAAACCUUCUUUAGUGAUGAAAAAAUAUCCCCCCCCCCAAAGUGACAAAAGUAAAUAGCAUUUUCUUGAUCCGUCAGAACAAUCAGAAUAAAGAGAAUGUUGAAAGCUUGAAGAUACAGAGGAUCAUUUCGCUACUUCACAAAAGUAUUUUCAAAUGGCUCUGCUGAGUUAGGGUUUUUAUUUUUAAUAUCAUUGAGUUACUUAAAAAAACCAUAAUGGUUUGUUAAGAGCAGGAGUUAUACCUACCUGCAAAUAUAUAUACAUGUCUUCUCGUACUUUCCUUCGUUGAGACUUUGUUAUUGUAUUACUGUGUGUGUGUGUGGGGGGGGGGGUGUAUAUGCGUGUGUGUAUGUGUUCUUUUUCUUUUUUUUGGUCUACAUUGCUGCAGUCAUAGCUUGUUAUGAAUCAUUUUGUGCGAGCACUAUGAAAAUCUACAUCUUUUUUUGUAAUUAAUUUUGAAAAAUAUUUCAGAAUUUGUUGAUUGAGAUCUGCACGUGAUUAAAGGACCUUGCUUCCCUUUCCUUGGCAAGCUCAGGUUAGGUUGGUAACCAGGUGUUUUUACCAACGAUUGAAAACUUUCCUUUAGACAAGUUUAUAUAUAUUUUUUAAUACCACAGUACAUACUCAGUAGUGUUGCCGAUGGUGGUCAGAACAGACUAGGUACUUAUUGUUUUUCUUGCUCGGUUUGAAAGCUGUGCAUGAUUUGAGCCAGUAACUUAAAGACACACAUUCUGUGUAGAUGGAUCUUUAGACAUUACUCAUGUUUAUCCCUCUCCCCUGCAUCAAGUUGCAUUUUAAUCCAUUCUAUCCUUAAAGUCACCAGGGGCACAAUUCUAUUUCCGUUACUUAGUUUGUAUUUAUUUUUGCUUUUUCUAUGCCCUCCCCUGCAAUUGCGUCCUCUCUGGCUACCGGAGUUCUGCGGCAAUUGAGAAAAAAAAAAAAAAAAACAAGAUUAAGGAAGGUUAAGAUUAAAGAAGUUGAGAGAGCAAAGAUUAAGGAAGUUGACCUCGCAAAAUAUCAGCUUUCUUCUGUCUGACACAGCUGAUAGAGGAGAGCGUGGCUUGCCCUGCAUUUAGAUAGGUUUCCUAACAUUGAGCCGCAUGGCCUCCUAGACUAAGGUAGUGCCUGCUGUGUGCGCCAGAUACACAGACUGUAUAUAUAAAUGGCCCAGAGGCAGCCCUUGCCUUCACGGUAUUUGUAGUCUCAUAGGGGAAGAUAAGGCACACGCACAAAUGACCAGAAUAUAGCUCGUUAUUUGAAAGUGUCAGGUAACGUUCAUAUACUUGUCUCACCUUGCACCGCAGAGUUUUUAUAAAAUGUUUUGAAGCUUUUAGAUCAAAAGGGUUGUAUUGGUUCAAAGUAAUGAUAACACUAAUCCAUGAUGAAUGUUAAUGUUGCUUUAGUCUUUAUGAAAAUAAAGCUGUGACUCUUGUACCUACCGAUUUAGUAAAUGUGGUAGAGAUGAUGAGGGAAGGGAAUAUUAAUGAUAGAAUGGCAAAUAGGUUUAGAUCCCUUCUUCUCUACCUCCCAAAAAGCAAGCUGAGGUUUUUUUUUCUGUGUUACCAACUCAGCAGGGACUUUUUUAUGCUAAACUGAUGGUUCUUAAUACUUCAGCCAUCAAAUGGGGAGUGAAAAUAGUUAUUUUUUUUCCCCACCGUGCUGUCUGCUAGGUAGCAUUUUUAAAAGAGAAAUACGUAUAUGACUUCGGGGCAUUUGUCCAGUCUGGGUUCUAAAAGGCCCCUAAGUUUUGCCUAGAGUUGAUAAAAGUAAAUUUUAUAGCCCUACGGGCAGUUUGCAUCAGUGUACAAAUUAUUUUACCCACUCACGGUUGUCAACGUUUCUUUUAACUUUUCUCACAGUGCGUAUAAUUUUGCAUUUGGGAUUUGCCUAAAAUGGAUUCAGCAGCACUUCCCUGGAAUGUUCAAAAUAGUUCAAGGCACAAAGUAACCUAGAUAUUUAAACGGCCCCUUUACACCUUAGCAACGUGGUUGUUAUGAUUUUAUGAAAACAGUCUUUGUUUCUCUUCUCUGCUAACUUCUGGCUUUAGUCAGCAAAGAUUCCUCUGCCUCAUUAAUGUUGUGAGGACUCUAAAUAAAAUUCUUUUCAUGGGUUGCUUUUUGGGCAGACCUGAUAUUGAUCACUGAUUUUAGUGCUUGUGUAUUCCUGAUUCAUCUUCCCAUUUGGGAAAGUAGCCUUUUAAAAAAGAGUUUUGAAUGCCUGCCGUAAUCCUCUCUCCAUCUUUGGGAGAUGAUUUGAGCCUUAAUGUUGACUUUAGCCUUUUUCUAAUUUUGUUUUUUUUUUUUUUUUUAAAGAUGAAUGGGCAGUAACAUGAAAGGGGAUGAAUGGAGCCGAGAGUCAUCUUUAAAUUUUUUUGAAGCAUAAAUAACUCAUUCUUGUUCUUUGAGUAUCUCAGUUUCCUAGUGCCCCCCCAGACAGUCAAGAUGAAGUCUCAGCAUUCAUACAUGUAGAACUCAAGGCACUGUGUAUUUGUAUAAGAUAUUACUAAAGGAAUUAUAUAAAAACAAAAUGCCAGUUUAUCCGUCACUGCUAUUAUUAAAACCAACAAUUUGAUGACUCAGUUUCAUUGUAAGGGUACACACAUGGAAAAGGUGCAUUUAAAAUGCACCUGGAAGAUUUUAUAAGAGUUGCAGCGUUUUCUUUUUUAAUGUUUGGAGAUUUGGUGUCAAAUUUUAUUUGUAAACACGCAUUGCCCUAAGAAUAAUAUCCUCAUAUGGCCUCAGAUAUAUUGAAACUGUGUUCAUUCACACUAUCAAUAAAAACAUAUCAGUGCCUGUGAAGAGCCAGGCCUUAGUCUGGAUCCUGUGUAUUUAGUAGCAAACCAGAUGGAAAUGUCUUUGCUCUUAUGGUAGUUACUUUGGUUUUGUACAUCUGAACAUUCAAGGCUAAUAAAUAUAAAAUAUUUGUGGUGUCUGAGACCUAGGAAUCAAUCAGAAUGAGCUCACACCUACUUAGUCCUUAUAAUAGCCCCAAAAGUGACACUUUAUGAAUUUAGUGUUACCCAAAUAAUAGUGUAAUAUACAAAGAUGGAUGCCUAGAUUUAAAAUGUUAAAAGCUUAUUUUAGAAGGCCAAUGAAUAACAUAUUCUCAUUUUUGUAUCAAUAUUUCAAGUGCUGCUGGGUAACAUAUUGAUAUGCCGACACCAACCAUGGAUGAUAAUAAAUAUGGCAUUUGUAUUCAUAUUAAUAAACUGGAUAGAAUAAAUGGCAAAAACAUCUUCAUAGGAUUUCAAAAUGGGGUUUGUCAUUCAUAAAUAUUAAUAUAUUUUGCAGUGCUGAAGCAUUAACAUUACAGAAUAAAAGACAGCUGGCUUUAUCUUGAGAUUUUAUGGUGUUUAGUAGAUUUUAAAACAUGGGCAUAUGUUACAUAAAGCUCAGACUCCUUUAAGGGCAACCAAAGACCACAGGUAUUCUGACAGGAACAUCAUCCUUACAAAUGAAAUCUCGAGGUAGGGUGUCUUUGUAAAAACAGUUGGUUUUAAAUUUCACCUCCCUGUCCUUUUUCUAAAAAAAAGAAAAAAGAAAAAAAAAAGAUAUUUCGUAUUCCGCAUUAGCAUUCCAAAGAUUCUUUACUAUUUCUAGUUAGAGAGGUUUUUCUGUCAUUUACACAGUGUUUUCAUAUACCUGGCAGGUUUGAUUCAGGAUAAUUUGAUAACCCUAUAAGCACAUGCAAUCCGUCAUAAAACUGUUACAAAAAUAUAAUUGUAAUUACGGAUUUGAAAAAUCUUAAUUGUACAGAACCCCACUGAGUAGAUGAUGAAAAAAAAUCAGUGAUUAAGUACAGGCCAAUAAUGGGAGAACAUAAAUCCACAAAAUGAAUCUUAUGAUACCAGGAGUGUUUUCUCAUACUAAUUGCUAACAUGCUUUGCAGCACUGAGAAAUACUGAGAAAUAAGUUUCCCUAUGCCUGUCUUUAACCUUGGAGUCUAUGGAAGAUUGUUGCCAGGGUGCUUGAGUAGCCUGGGCUCUGAUUUGGGGUCUGGCUUUCCCUCUGUUUGGGAGGGGUGGAAUAACUAAGUUUAAACAUGGAUCUGUCGUUCAUUGUUUUCCCUCCUUUUUUGUUGGAGUUCCAUUUAUAAUAAUCUACAAGUUCAAGAGCUUUCAUUGAAGGCCAGUAGGAGAUUUUAUCUUUUUUCAUCAUCCUUUCCCAAUGUUAACAGUAAGUGACAACUGUAUUUAUGCUGUGUUGUUAAGUUAAUCUAAUAUUGUUUACCAUUAUGUGCCUGGUUAUCCCUGGUCAUAGGCUAAAGUUUACAGAGUAUCAGAAAUUUUAAGCGCAAAACACUAACUUUUCAUUUGUUUCAGUAAUAAGGGCAAAACUAUUCCUUUGUUUUGUGAAUUGAGUUUAGGAUUGCCCUAAUAAUUAAAAAUAUGAUUACCUGAGUUCCAGCAUUAGAUUUUCUGGGUCUUAAGAAAACCUUACCUCUUAAUUGUACCAUAAUUAUUAAUGUUGGAUUUGGAUUUGGAAGUAAUGCUUUUGUGAAUUUUAGUGUCACUGAAAAACAAAAACAUCCUUAGAGAUAUAUUAUUUUCCCAACUUUGAGAUGAAAGGCAGACAGUAGCUCUGAUGCUUGAAAUGUGCUGUGAUGUUGGGAUACAGAAUUGUAAUAGCACUUGCCAUUUGAAGAUCAUGGAUUUGAUGCAGGUUUUUAGAUUUUGGGGGAAGAAAAGGAGAAAGUUUCAGUGUGGUCGUCAUUUGGCAUUCUGUGACUUUGGGACACAUGAGGAUGAGAAAUAGGGUCUUAAGUAACCAGUAAACUCCAGCACUAAACCUGUCCUUUGCAAAAGCUGACAUAUGAGUUACUAGGGUCAAAGAUGCCAGGACUAUGAUUAUGGAAAUUUUGGAGAUAUGGCAUGUAGGUGUACUUAGCAUCAUAAAAAUUAGGAAAUGCCACUAGACAUGAAUGAAUUUUCUGAAGAUCUUAGAUUUCCCAAAUUAAUCUAGGUUACCAGGUUUGCCAAAUGGGUGUUUGUGUGUAAAGGACCAAAAAAUACAAGGCAUAUAUAACACUAGGAUGUGCUUCUUGGCUUAGCAAACAUGCAGUCUGUUCUGGGAGGAACACAGGCCCAUGGACUGGCAGGCGAACAGAUACAAUAGCACUGCAGCACUUUAGUAUCAGAAGGACUCUGAAUAAAGGACAUCGAUCCUUCACCAAAAGGACACUGAUUUUCAAGACCUGUACAGUUGACUCAGGCAUUGGGAUCUGGGGUUAAUUCUAUUAACUGGGUAUGGAAGCCUUGUAGGAGUUAAUAGCCAGUUCGAAUAGGCUAUUUAUGUGUUAGUAAAAACGGUUGGUAAUUUAAAAUACUGUGGUUUAUCAAAGUAGCCAUUCAGAAAAAAAGUAUAGCCUGCAGUUUAUUUGUUAUAAAAAUAUUUUGUCAACCUGUAGCGUCUUAAAAGCCCUUAUUAUUUGAGAGACAAAUUAAAAACUUUGAGGGGUGAGGAUAGUUGCCAAUGUGAACCUUGAUACCUGGUGGUUGCCAGUGUGCUGGGUGUUUUGCCUUUGAACGGUUAAUCUUUUACCGUCUCUAUUUGAGAUUAGCAAUAUACUGAAAUCACACUUACUCUUUAAAGUUCUGUGGCGGGUUUAGCAUCAUGUUAGCAGAAGGUGUUAUUUGUAGGCCGGCUACUGGUUUGCAUAUGUGGAAAUAGACUGGUCUACACUCUGCCCACGUGACCAUAUGCUGAUGCUAUGUGUCCAUACCCUGUCCCCCAUCAACCCUUCUACUUCCCAUACUCUUGUCUAAAGAGAAUGGAUCAACUCUUCAUGGGGGGAGGUGUCUUGCCAAACAAAUCUGAUUUUUGAAAUCUGUGGAAAAGGUCACUAGUGCUUGGUAACAUUUUGGAAACGUUAUGAACACCUCUGAGUUUUGUUUUCGGGUUUUUAAUAAUUGCAGAAGAACCCUCGAUGUUAUAGUGACAAAUGCUAAUGUUGAAAUAAUGUUUCGGUUACACGGUAUACCCUUACGUUUGGAACAUGUCACCUGGUAAUGAAGAUUCUGAUUGAAAUGCUACUUGGUAUUUCACUGGAAGUUAUAAGAGGAAAAUUAGCAGAGGGAAAUAAAAAAAAAACAACUAAGUGUAAUUUUAAUUAAAUGGUUAAUUUGGAAUCAUCCAUUCCGAAGAGCUUUACUUGUGAAAACUCGGUGAUUGUUAAGUGUCUGUUAUACUACUUUUGCUUUCUCCAUUAAUAGCAUCUAGGGUUUGGGUGUUUGGAGAAUGAGACACCCAAAGAUAUUUUGGGAAGAGAUAGGAAGGCAUCAUUAACCGCAAAGUAGAAGAAUACCUCAGUGUUUGAGGUAGAACCAUUUAUUUUCACCUCUUUGCCCUGGUUUGUGCAUGCUCAUUAUCCACCUGGUCUCAGUCUCUGUGGUCCUUCCUUUGUCCCUCUCCUCACCUACCCCUGGGCCUCCUGCCUCCCUCUUCACAGUCAAACCUCUCUAAGGACCUUCUCUGAACCAUGCCAUCUGGAGCAGCCAACCCUUAUCUCAGAGCUCCGUUGACUUGCUCCAUUUCUAAUCUCCUUGGAAGACUUAUCUCUUCUUCCCGUCCUCUGCUCUGUUAAUUUAUUUCUGCUUCUAUUAUUACAUUGAUAAAUCUCACAUUUAACCAGACGUUGAGGAAUGUGCUGUUGAACUGAUGCGAAUCUUUAAUUGACGAUGGUGUUGCAACUUCAUUUGCCAUAACGUGUAGCUCCUUUUGCACGUAAUUGUAAAGAAAUCUCAGUUUAAAACUUGAAAAUGAAGGGCCGUUCAGUUUUCAGGGCUACAGAAAUGCCCUCCUACAGGUACCUUGGGUUUGUCAGUGGGCUCUAGGUAGGGUUGGGAGGUCUGACUGUCCUUGUGAUUUUAAAAACUCCCUUUUAAGACAGGUGGGGUGCCACCUUUAAGUCUACUCUGGGGGCUUGUGAGAAGGAAAAAUCCUCUCCUAUUAUUCAUUCCUGCCUAGGAAUGCUGAGCCAGUCUUACUGAUUCUCCUGUGUUUGUUUGCUUUGCCUCACUUUAAGAAUGCUUUUGAGGAACUAGUUUAGUGAGUGCAAAAUAACAUACAGACACUCUCAUGGAAAUAUUUAUCAAUACCCCGUAUUGUUAAAUAUUCAACCAUAUUACAAUAGCUUCUUUGAACUUAAAAAUGUUUUCUAAAUGUACUGCACAGUAAAUUUUGAAGAUUUUAGGCAUUUGAUAAGGUGUAUAAAUUUAGAAAUCUAGUUUGGCAAAUACUUAGCUAUCAGAGUCCUGUAAGUUUAUCGAAGGAAUACUUUUGUGGGGAAGAUGGUGAACCCCAAAUAUCCCCCCAUUUAUAAUCAGAUCAGAAAUUUAGAUUCUGUCUUCUAAUUUCAGUUCUUAUUUAUUCCAUUAUGAAUUUACUUACUCGUGUGCAUCUGUGAACAUGAAGAAAACCAACAAAAGCUUCUGAAUAUCAGUAACAACCUAUCAUCAUAGUAUUUUAAUCUAGAAAAGCAAUUGGAGCUGAAAAUAAAGCUACUUCAUAUGUGGUGAUAUUUACACUCUCCUAAAUGUUUGUCUACGUACUUAUUAUUUGUUGCUAUUUACUUAACAAAAGUUACCUUCACCCUAAAGAGGAAAUCAGUAUAUUGCAAAAUAACAUAACAGCAGUCAUGGCUUUCUGUUCUAGAAAGGUUUUCAACAGCACGUCAGCCCAAACUUCAUGUUAGUGUAUUAGUGCGUUAGUGUAUUAGCCUGUGUGGCUCAGUCAGUUAAGCGUCCAACUCUUGAUUUUGGCUCAGUUGUGAUCUCACAGUUCGGGAGAUCAAGCCCCACAUCAGGCCCUCCGCUGACAGUGUGGAGCCUUCUUGAGAUUUCUCUCUCCCUCUCUCUGCACCUUCCCACCCACACUCACACUCAAACAAAUAGACAUUGACAAAAGUUAUUGCGAAUAUAGAUGAGUCGUUUCUUUUUUCAUUCAUCCCUUAUUUAUUUUCACAAAGAUUUGUCAGAGUAUUUGCUCCCAGUGAGCCAGAUGCUAAUCUGGGCAUUGCAGUAUCAAGUUGAGAUAGACAAAAUCCCUGUUCCUUAUAAAGGUGACGUUGCAAUAAUCUUUAUAAAAGACUGUUACUUUUUUUGAAAGACUGUUUGCUCAACUAUAAUGAUAAAUAGGAAAAAAGUAAUUUGGGUAUGAUUUUUAACUUUUUUAAUGUAGUCAUAAUUGUCCCACUUCUGUUAGGACUCAUGCAUUCAGUUCCUUUUGCCGUAGAGGCAAUACAUUUGUAAAGGCCCUUCUUAUUCUCUAGGAUGCCUCAUUUCCCUAAAAGGUAGGGGUGUAUUUUUAUGAUUCAGCAUUCUGGGGUUGGUGGGGGGAGUGUGGUGUGGUGUGGUCUGUGACCACUGUACUAAGUCAACUUAAUUAGUCAUUUCUUGGAUGGACCUUCCCCUCUGGAUAUUGCCAGGAUUAAAGUUCGAAGGUAAGAGUGCUUUGAAGGAAAAAAAAAAUGCUGACAAAUAGUGUUAUCUUCAACUGGUUGUGUAAAAGGGAGAAUUUAAGCUUUAUAAGAGCUGAUAGGGAUGCUGAUUAUAACAACCAAAUUAUUACAAAAAUUAAAAGAGUGGUGAUGGUACAGCUCAAUUACAUGCAGUUUGUGGGUUAUAUUUAGUUGACUUACUGUGUUGCACAUUUGAAUCAAAAAUACUAUUUUAUUUUCAUACCCUAAGAAAGGGAUAUAUUACUGAAAACCAGUUAUCUGCUUUAUUAUAUAUUUAGACAUUUCUGUGGAAAGUUAAUGCUUAAAAUUCUUCGUGUAAUAUGCAUUUCAUUUUAUACUCAUGAUAACUAAUCUGCAUGAAAGGUAGCAGGAAUAUUGGGGUUUUUUUUCCUGAUGUAAAAAAAAUAAAAGGGUAGUAGCAGACAGCACAUCAGAGGAUAUGUUUUUUUUUCUUUUUUAAGAGAUGAAGUAACUCUCCCAGCAAAUUCUAGCAUUUUCAGAUUAUAGAGCACAUUAUGUAACUUCAUACACCAGUGUGGACCUCAGACAGAUUCUUUAAUUUUUUGGAAAGGCCUCGUAGCACACUUAAUCUGCAGAUCCUUUCUGGGGGGCAGGGGGAAGCGUAUCCUGUUAGAUUUGGUGACAUAAAGGUCAAAAGAUAAACCGUAAGUGAUACCUAUGUUUAUUUUUUUGACAGUGUUAAAUUAGCAACCCCUCAGACCUCUCCUGGAGAAGUACAACCUGAGUAAUUGAACAUGUCACUAGGGACUCUGCUUGGUUAAGCUGAUUCCUAUUAUGUUGACUUGUCAGGGGCCAAUAAUUAAAGCUGAAGAGCGAUGCUCAUUAGUGUCUGCAAGAUGAUUCAAAGAGUAAGAGAGAGAAGUCCUUGAGGCACACCUGCAAAAAGGCAGGCCCUGCAUGGAGGUGAGAGCAGACGGACUGGCUUGCUUUUCUGCUGUGUUAGCAAUCCAGCUAUAAAAGGGCUGCACUAAAUCAAGUGUUGCAAAUGUAUUCUCAACUCAGAUUUUUAAAUGCAUUUUACUUCUGCCUUUGAACAUAAUUUUGUUCCAUGUAAUCAUAUUCUGCUCAAUUAUGUUUUUAAUGCUAUCUAAGAUGUUUUAGAAAAUAGAUACAAGUCUAUUCAAAAGCACUUUGAAAAAAUUUUAUACUACUAAUCAUUUCAUUCAUUUUACUGGAAACAUCAUAAUAAUCAAAAUCUGCUUUGCUGCUUUGAACUCUCACUACCCUGUGUGUAAUCCAUGUGAGUUGCCCAGCUCUGCUGAUAAAGGCUUUAGCAUACAUUUGCCACAUUUACUUUGCAAAAAUGGAAAAUUUUAAUGUAUAUUUAACAUGAACUAAAGCACAUCUAGUACACAAGCAUUGGUCUAGAGAAGCCUGGAAAAAACAAGACUGCACACUAAGUGUACAAUUUUAAGUUUAUCACAACUUGAACAAAACUGUGGGCUUUUCUAGAACAACCCAUACAUUUUAGAACUGGAAUGGUAUGGGAACUUGAGUUUUAAAACCAUGAAAAACUUCAAGUCCUCUUCUUUUGAAAUUGGCCUUGGAUAGGUUCAAUUAUUAUAAACCUAUCAUAGAAUCAUGGAAUAUCCAAAUAUCCUAAAUUUUUUUUGGAAAAUUCAGACAAAAAUGAUUUAUUGAACAUACUUUUUUUUCUAUAAUCUGAUAUUGAAACAAAGUGUUUUGCCGUGGUGAACUGGCCCUUUUGCAUCCAGUGUUGUGCCUAUGAAAUCCAUCCUUCACACUUAAGCUGGAGAGAUGUCUUUAUCUUUUACAGGAUUGCAGAGUUAAGUCUGGAGUCUUUAGGUUGGCAUAGAUGUCCUCUAUGUACACAUGUGUAGGAUUCAGCCUUGAGGAGGCUCUUCCUGAACUCAGAGUUUGUAGAGCUUGUAUCACUGAUAUACCUUGUUAGCCGGAAAUUGUGUAUGUUUCCCUUUCCUCCAAUUGAAUGAAGUCCCUCAAGGACAAGGACUGGUUUUGUUAAUGUUUUCAGGCAUAGUGGUUGCAGUUCAGUAAAGGUUGGUUAAACUUAACUUAGGGUGCAGAAGAGACCUUUAGGGAUAGUUAUAGAUUUCCAAGACUAUCAAGGGCUCUAGAAGUCAAAUAGAACAUCUCCCACCACAUGCCAAGAAUUCCUUACAUGAUGUUCUUUAACAAAUCCUUCCCAGACUUUGUAUCAAUGAGAUCACUUCUUUGCAAGGCAGCUGUUUCUAGAUUGAGCAGUUCCAAGUUAUGAUGGUGACAGCAGUUAAAAGAGCUGUACUUUAUGUGAAUUUUCAUUUAGUGAUUGAGGCACUGAUUAUUAUUACCUCCAUUUUAGGCAUAAAUAUGUUGAACUUCAGGGAGGUUGAGUGACUUAUCCAGAGCCCCACAGCUAGUUAGUGAUUGAGCUAGGAUGGGAGUCUGCAUGUGUCUGGUUUAAGUGCUGGAAUGCUUGGCUGCCAAGCCCAUAGCUGCCCCUUUUUUUUAUUACUAUUAUUAGAAAUCUAUUUUUGAUUAUUUUUCUUUACAAAAGCCAACUGUUGGAGAUUUUUAAAACGCUCUACAGAUCAUUUGUUACCAUAUAAACAUAUGAUUGUAUAUAUAUUUCAUAAAGCAAGGAGAGAUUUUUGCAACAUUUGUUAUUCAUUCAGGCUCAUGAGGUCAACAUUGCCCAUUAGACUGUUGAUACAUAGUAGUGACAUGAAAAACAUUGCUCAAAACAAGUGGCUUCCUUGAGUUUAUCUAGUAAAGCUCUAAUUUAUAUUUAAUACUUUGUGUUUCUUAAAUCAUACUCUGAAGGGCCAUCUUUAACAUGAUAUUAGAGUAGAAAGUCUACUUGAUUGAGAUUCUUGGAUCUGUCUUAACUAUUUGGAAAAAUUUGGGCAAACCACACAGCUCCGGGAGUAUAGUCCUUUUGCUCUGAAAAGGAACAUGAAGGAAUCCUUUUUCUACUGAUCUUCUAGGUUUGAUACUAGAAUAAAAUGGCCUGUAAAUGAGAACAUUUUCUAAUUUAUGUUUUGAAACUUUUAUAAGAGUUCAUGGAUGCUCCCAUCAUAUACAAUAUAUUUUCUAAGAUCUGUCCUAUUGGAAAUACAAUAUCGACUUGUGACAAUGAUAUAAUGCUGAAUACGAGCUCAUUUGCAUGAGGAAGAUUGACAGUGUUUGAAUUUAAAAGGAUCUGUCCUAAGCCUUGAACAUUUUUUGCUUAAAGGUUCCCAAUAGUGAGGGGUAGUGGAGAGAGAUGUUCAAUUGUACAUUUCCAUUUUUAAAUGAAUUUAUUGAUUAAAGCUAGAAACAGUACAACUUCCACCUUAACUCAUAAAUUUCAAAGAUUUCUCUUUGUGAUGGAAUGAGAUAAACCAAUCAUAUAUUCUGCCCAGUAUGCCUCUCCUCUGUUCCUUUAAAAAAUGUUAAAAUGCCAUUGAACCAAUUUUUACAGUACUAUUAAUCAGUGUAAUCAGUACUAAUACACUACUUUACCAGCUCAGUGCCACUUGUCAGUAAUAUGACAGGGAGAAUUUUACGUCUUCUUCACAAAGGCUUUCAUCUAUUAGGGGGAAAAAGGAGAUCAGGAUUUUAAUUGUUAGCAAUCAGAAGUCUAUGUGAUUAAGACUGGCAUUCUGAAGAAGACACAUCAGAGAUUAUGCUGGGAAUAUUUUUCAUCCCUUAGGAAUUCUUUUAUGAAUUUGAAUAUAGUGUUAUUUACCAAUACCUGAAACCUUAAUUAUAGACCCACUGGAGAGUAAUAUGCCUGUUAGAAGAUAAAAGAAUUUGUGUUAGAGUUAAAGGUUUUCAAAUGUUCCAACUGGCUCCCUUCCCCCUUCUGUGUCUUCGUUUGCAUGUUUCUAAAAUUCAGUCCUCUAAAUGAAUCUUACUGGUUUGGUUUCUAAAAUGCUCACUUGAAGACUCCCGAUUUCUUUAUAUUUAGGCCUAUGAGGAGCACUUUUUUUCUGUUAUAAUAGAAGUGAUCCUUAGAGUGGCCAAAUGUAAAUUUGUUCCUAGUGUUUACACCCCAGUGCAGUCUCUGGUUUUCAGAUGAUGAAUUUCAAGCAGAGCAUAGGACCCAAAAGGAAAACUCAGGUAAGUGCAGUCCACAAGUAGUGGGGGAGAGAUGGCUAGCAUAAUGGCUGUACCUUCAGGGGUGAAGCAUUUACUGGGACAAGAAUAGAUCCAGAGGUAGAGAAUUUCUUUGGAGGGAACCCUGGGAGAGAAGAGCAGCCCAAGGAAGUUCUGGUUUUCCUGGAGCUUAUUGUGAUGAUUGCUUCCUGUCAGAACCACUUAACACUGCGUGAUGCUGUGAAGUGACCAAUGUACCAAGUCACUUGCUGAAGAUCCCAGAGUAUAGGGACAAGAAUCCACAGCCAAGUUUAAAGGACAGGCCAUGAGCUUGAACCCCAUGCUUCACUGGCCUAACUAAAGCUAAAAAGAAUCAUUGGAUGGUUUCAGCUUAGCACAGAGAAUAAAAAGAGAGGGAGAAGGAAGAUGAGGGACAGAGACAGAGAAUGGAAUCAUCCAUUGUCCUCUUCCUUCCUAAUUAAAAAAAAGUGAUGCUUACAUGUCAUUUUAACCAAGUAUGGGCAAUAAAAACAUCGUGUAAGUGUUUGCUGUUUGAUAAUGGCAUUUUAAUGAUUUUAUCAGACUAGAAUUAUACUAUUUGAUAGAUUUCUUAAUAUAAUUAAAAAGUAAAAUUAAGUAAACUUCCUGUAAUUUGGAUGCUAGGUUAAAAGCCUAAUUCCUAGUAAAUUACAAAGUCAGUGAUAAACUUCAGAUGUCGUUGACAAGUGUACUGGCAGUUUUACUAUUUAAACAUUUGAACUGGGCCUUUGUGGGGAAAGUUGACGUGGGAUUCACAUUUUUUCUUAGAAUUAUUUACUGUCUGCCUUUUAUCUCUACUAUGGACAUCUGCCCUUCUUUUCACCAACCUGGAUCUAGAAUGAACCUCUGUGUACAAGUUUGCGAAUUUCUGUCAAAGUAGAAGUUAUUAAUUCAGCUCAUAGUAGCAACAGUUGUGCAGACAAACUGCUUUGCCCAAGUUUGUGGUAUCUGUUUGUAUUAAGUAAUUAGAAGUGUAGACAAUCUGAAAAUGCUUUUAAAAGCAAUUUAUACGCAUGUUAACUUACUUAAACGUUAACAACCUCCUAUGUGUAUAUGUUAUAUUCUUACAUGCCAAGAGCAUUACAUUUGUAUUUUUUCCCUACUUUAUCCACCGAGCAUUUUGUGCUUUCUGGUCUUGAAAUGCAAAGGAUAAAAUAUGUCAAUUUCUGAGUAGCUUAUAAAGCAAAUACUACUUUGCAAAUAUACAUAUUAUAUUUCUGAAGUCAAAACAAGUAGCAUCUCCUUCAAGUGUCACUUAAAUGUAUUGGAAUACAGAUUUGAUUAUUAGAGAAAGUCAUCUAUUCGUACAAGGUUUUUAUGUUUUUUGUUUGUUUUGCAUUUUUUAUAGCUAGCAGUGGGAUUCUUGUUAAAAACAUAUUAUUGCAAAUGAGUUGUAAAUAAUAUGUAUAUAUGCAUGUGUAGAUAUGUACUUAAUUAAAUGAAGAAUACAUAUAUAAUAUAUAUAUAUAUGUAAAUUUGUGGCAUUUUAUUUCUUUUGAAAGUUGCUUUCUGCCAGUCUUGACAUUUUCUAAAUAGGCUCUGGAAUAUGAAUAAUGCCAGGUUAAGUUUACAAUUUGAAUAAUUUGAAAAGUCUUUUUUGUUGUUUCCUUAAGGCAGAGAUGAUGAUAAAUUAAAGGCACUAUCAUGCCAUUGUUGUAUAUGGACGUACUUUUUCAGAUUGUAAACUGUUUUAUGUUGUCUACGGGUUUUAUUCUAGUCUGUGCUAUCUGGAGAUAAAAGAAUCCAAACUGGUAAAAUGAAUUGUAAUAUGUGCAUUUCAGCCAUAUAACUUUAUAUUCAUUUUUACUUCUUUGAAUCUUGUCUUGAAAUAAAACAGUGAAGCCAUUUGUUCUAAAACUAACUUUAAA